Long non-coding RNA from Sinocyclocheilus grahami, 446 nucleotides. RefSeq lists it as uncharacterized. The transcript is spliced from 3 exons. NCBI's taxonomy places the organism in Eukaryota, Metazoa, Chordata, Actinopteri, Cypriniformes, Cyprinidae. The record is from RefSeq and is a predicted model, not a curated record.
CCAACAACGUUUCAGCAGCACGUGGACCUGUGAACGCGGGAAAACAUAAGAGCAUGCAGACCUACUCCCAUGAUUGGCCUAAUAAUUAAAGCUAUCCUGCAACCACCGCCGUACUGCAGAGCUGCGGGCGCAUCAGGAGCCCAUGACAUGAUACAGAGGGACAGCUUAACUAUUAAAUAUCCAUCACGCCAUGCCACAUCAGUCCUAAUGCAAUCAGAAACACAUGACUACAUCGCCCGGGCCCCCACUUCAAUCCACAAUGAUUAAAUGACAGUUCGAUUUGAUUGGGAAGAGGGGGGGGGGGAAUCUACUGUAGCUGCGCAGACUAAUACGAGGCUUUGUGUACUUCAGAGAGGACGCACGUGGGCUGUGGUCUUUUUGCCGUAUUAUCAUUUUAAUGAAGCAGGGUAUUUCUUUUGUGGUCGGAAGGCUCUAAUGCAGUUGUC